This 460-nucleotide ribosomal RNA is filed under the name uncultured bacterium. RNAcentral's name for it is "partial 16S ribosomal RNA". It matches the Rfam family "Bacterial small subunit ribosomal RNA", at positions 338 to 795 of the family's 1533-position model. The record is from RNAcentral.
CCUACGGGAGGCAGCAGUGAGGUAUAUUGGUCAAUGGGCGCGAGCCUGACCCAGCCAAGUAGCGUGAAGGAUGACUGCCCUACGGGUUGUAAACUUCUUUUAUAAAGGAGUAAAGUGAGGCACGUGAGCCUUUUUGUAUGUACUUUAUGAAUAAGGAUCGGCUAACUCCGUUCCAGCCGCCGCGGUAAUACGGAGGAUCCGAGCGUUAUCCGGAUUUAUUGGGUUUAAAGGGAGCGUAGAUGGGUUGUUAAGUCAGUUGUGAAAGUUUGCGGCUCAACCGUAGAAGUGCAAUUGAUACUGGCAGUCUUGAGUACAGUUGAGGAAAGCGGAAUUCGUGGUGUAGCGGUGAAAUGCGUAGAUAUCACGAAGAACUCCGAUUGCGAAGGCAGCUUUCUAAUCUGCAACUGACAUUGAUGCGCGAAAGUGUGGGUAUCAAACAGGAUUAGAUACCCUAGUAGUC